GGAAUCUUAAAAGUUAUACACCCAUGGAAUCGUUGAGGUUUUGUUUUCUGAGUUUUAAUUAAAUACGUGAAAUUCUUUUGAUAGGGAAUGUUCUGGGAACCUGGGAUACAAAAUGUAGAUAAAGUUCUUUGCUUUCAUUUAUCUAAAGUAGUAAGAAACACGGUUCUGAAAGGGUGGUAUGACUUUUGACCCCUCUGGUGACUUUUCCUUUUGUGGUCUGAUCAGCCGCAAUGAAAAGCCAUUUGGAUGGUGAAUUUAAGGUCAUUUGUGAUACUGACUUUAAGGAAAUUUGUAGAACUGAUAAUUAUGAUGGAGUUAAAGUUCUUAGACGCAGUUGAUAAUUUGAACCAAUGAAAAGACUGAAUGACGAUAAGGGUGAAUUACAGGAGAAGGUGAUUCACUCAAUCCAACCAAGAGACUGGGUGUGGAUCCAGUCCCUGAGGAGAAAAGACGGGAAGCAGCCCCGUGGGGAAGGCCCAUACCAGGUGCUGUUAAACCAUUGCCUUUGCCAUUAGAAAAGCUGAGAGUCACUUGGGUCCACGUUAUCCACUGCAAGAAGGUAUGUACACAUAUCCACUGCUGAUCACACACAGAGUUAGGAGAAGAACCGAGUACCAACAGGGUCCGGGGGUUACCUCCUUAACGAAGAUUUCCUAUCCCGACCGUUCAUCACUGUGUGUGCUCCUAGAGGUGUGAGUAUGGGGUGGUACCUAGCAGAGAGACUAAGGGCAGGAGAGGGUUGGCGGUUUUUGGGAAGAGUAGGGACUCUGAGCUGCAUCAUAGUCUAAUCUUUCUGAUACAUUCAGAUCCACCACCUUCUGGUACUAAUCAUACGAUACCGUUGUCAUUGAGAAGAAGUAGAAUAUAAAGUAUAUAAUACACUGAUGAGUGACUUACAGAAUAAGGAGUCAAAGAAGAUCAAGAUGUGGGAUUUAAGAUUCAUGAAUGAAACCGGGGAUGCAGUAAAGAGGUUCUCUGACCAAUUAUCCGCCACCUCCCUCAUGACCUGGUAAAAUAGACUGACUCUCGAUAUGUUACUGGCAAAGGAGGAUGGUGUAGGUAGAAUGAUUAGGUUCAUUGCUGUACGUACAUUCCUGAUAACACAGCCCAUGUUUGGGAAAUGGAAAAGUGUUGUAGGAACGGUAUUAUGGGCAGCUUUCACCUGUAUGAGUGUGUUUGGGUUGUUGUUUGGUCCCGUGUGCGAGAGGUCUCAUUUCCACGGUUCUGGAGAGAUCAAUAACGGAGCAGAUGGUGAGUUCAGACCAGUGGGACGACAACUACCUACCGCCGAGCCUGGUGGAGGAUUCAUUCAACUAUGAGGAGCCCAUGAUAAGAUGAGACCAUCUUUAGAGUUUCCUGAAUUAGUUUGAUUUUGUGUGAAAUUUCUGAAUCCAAAAAAAAUAGAUGUGUUAUAAUGUAUGUGAAAUAUUUAGCCAAUCGGGUGGAUAUAAUGAAAGGUUUGACUAAAAGAUUUCACUCAGAAACCUUAUAACCUGUUGAAAUGUAUUCGAAAUACAGCUAUAAUAAUGGGUUAAAAACUAUAUUCCAAUACUGUGUGAGUAAGACACUGUUACCAGAAUGAGCAGGGCAGAGUUGAUAAGACGACCUUGGGAAGGGAACAGGAGAAGAAGCCUCCCUAAGUUAGGGAGAGUAACAACGGCCUGGGAACGGCAGGUGGGCAGGAGAUUAGAAGACAGGUGGCAAGGUUGUUAAGGAAUGUAUGUGUACUGUGGGAAAAAUACAGCCGCCUAAAGCUGGGUUGAGUUCUUUACUGAUGUGUGUGUAACAGAGAUUUGUUAACUAUACUCGCACUGCACUGACAGGUAUGGCUGAGCAACUAGAGGCUACCACUAGAACCACUAGACAAAAUAGAUUGGAGUUGGAUAUGAUAUUGGCUAAUAAUGGGGGGUGUAUAAAACGUUUGGUGAACAAUGCUGUACUUUUAUCCCUAAUAACACUAGCCCUGAUGGUAAGCAUUACCAAAGCCCUACUGGAACUUGAAAAGCUAUCUGCUGAAAUGAAGGGUGUAGCAGGGGUAUACGAGGGGAAUUGGCUGAACAUCUUUUUUGGUAAGUACACAUCUAUGGUGGUUACUGGAUUUCUGACCCUAGUGCUUGUGUUCUUAUUAUUGUUGUGUUGUGUUGCCUGUAUAAUCCCUUGCUUGAGAAAAUAUCUUACAGAAGUUGUCAGAGCAACCGGAAUGAUGUCUUUGAUGGAAGUGACCCCAGUGGAUACUGAAUCAACCUCUAGGCAAAAGACGGGUCUGUCUGAGGACGAUCCUUGGUUUGCUGUUGGGGAAAUGGUUGAAUAAAGCUUAUCCAAAAUGUUCUCAUAUGUAUUGAAUGUAGUGGCAGGUGGAUGUGAAGGUUUUAAGUACUGGGACAAAAAGUCUGUCCCAUACAUGUUAGGUGUAGCCACUGUCGCAAAAAGGUCUUCUUUUUAUACGUUUUUUAAAUAAUAUGUUCUGAAUUUAUCUUGUGUACUAUUUGUCUUUCCUUAUGUGAAGGUUUGAAGUUCCUGGGUGGCUGGUAGUCAACCUAGUACAAGUGAGGUGUAGCCGGAAGGACUUGAGGGUUUUUUAACUAAUCAUCUAAUCAUUAAAAUGGGAAUUAAAAAUUGUGUUGAGUGACACCCUAGGGGGUGUCAAAAGGGGGAAUCUCAAAAUUUCCCUGACAUUUUAAGAACUUAUAUAUUCACACUUAUCAGGUGUGAAAAGGGGGAUUGUUGGGUUUUAUUUCACUUAUUAGAUGUGAUGCAUUACCUUUUACAGUAGAUGUAGGCCUAAGUAUGAACGGACUGUAAUGCACUAAGAGGUUUAUAUUGUAUUAACAUAGAUUGAGCAACAUAUAAUAGACAUGACUAACUGGAGGGUUGCUGGCUAGUAGGAGUGUAGGCUGAGUAGACUCUUGACACACACACACAAUGCCUGGUUGUGGGGCCGCUCAAGGACAGGUGUACGGGAGGGGCUGGUAGAAUGGAAGAUGGCUGUAGCACAAAAGCAGAAACUGUCCUAACUGUAGCAUAAAAACAGGCACUGUCCUUGGGUGUCUGACUCUCGGGUACACACAUGAAGAUAAGCUAGAAGACAACUAUGCUUGGCAACAAAGAUGCGUCUAGAGGCUGGUACCAGCCUGCACGCCAACGAUAGGAUGAGUAAGUUUAAACCACGCUCAUCCUCCCUCUGACAGGCCAGGUGUGAGCGGGAACUAUCUCUGUCAGAGUAUUUAAUGAAGAACUUAUGAUGUCAUUUUCAGUUCUCUGUUUGCCCUGC
This 3271-nucleotide long non-coding RNA is filed under the name Salmo salar (Atlantic salmon). RNAcentral's name for it is "lncRNA (ENSSSAG00000117471.1)". Lineage: Eukaryota; Metazoa; Chordata; Actinopteri; Salmoniformes; Salmonidae. The record is from RNAcentral.